GGGGGUGAUUGGAUUCGACAGAGGGGAAGACUCGUAGAUUGCAGGUCGAGGACGCCGGCUCCCUCGUAAAUCCGCUGGCAAGCCGUAACUGGCAACAACAAUCGGGCUGUCGCAAGUCAGCUCGCCUACGCGGCCUAAUCUCCGCGUACCUCGUGUCGGUCUCCGCCUGGCGGAUCGGUAACGGGGCCACUUAGUCAGGCUGCUGCGUACUGGAUGCCGAGGACGGUGCGCUCAAGACCACUCGGCUGGCGCCCAAAGGCCCCUGUCGGUGGGGACCCGAAGCGCGAGAUCCCAACCACCGGAU
This 304-nucleotide transfer-messenger RNA is filed under the name Chloroflexota bacterium. Its description in RNAcentral is "Chloroflexi bacterium (rhizosphere metagenome) partial transfer-messenger RNA". It matches the Rfam family "transfer-messenger RNA", at positions 1 to 309 of the family's 374-position model. From Rfam's summary of the family: Bacterial tmRNA, also known as 10Sa RNA or SsrA, is named for its dual tRNA and mRNA-like properties. Its role is to liberate the mRNA from a stalled ribosome. To accomplish this part of the tmRNA is used as a reading frame that ends in a translation stop signal. The record is from RNAcentral. Lineage: Bacteria; Bacillati; Chloroflexota.